This 253-nucleotide ribosomal RNA is filed under the name uncultured bacterium. RNAcentral describes it as "partial 16S ribosomal RNA". It matches the Rfam family "Bacterial small subunit ribosomal RNA", at positions 524 to 776 of the family's 1533-position model. The record is from RNAcentral.
UACGGGGGGAGCAAGCGUUGUUCGGAUUUACUGGGCGUAAAGGGCUCGUAGGCGGCCAACUAAGUCAGACGUGAAAUCCCUCAGCUUAACUGGGGAACUGCGUCUGAUACUGGAUGGCUUGGAUUCGGGAGAGGAAUGCGGAAUUCCAGGUGUAGCGGUGAAAUGCGUAGAUAUCUGGAGGAACACCGGUGGCGAAGGCGGCAUUCUGGACCGAUAUUGACGCUGAGGAGCGAAAGCUAGGGGAGCAAACGGG